CGUGAAACCGUUCAGGGGUAAACCUGAGAAACCCAAAAGAUCGAAUGGGGAGAUUCAUCGUUCAGCGGCGCUGGCUUCCGUGCGGCUCGCGAUGGCCGUGGCCUCGGUCACGCGUCACGCGGUCGCUGCGGCAUGCCCGGCGUCGUCGGCGUGCACUUCUCCCCUAGUAGGACGUCGCGACCCGUUGGGUGCCGGCCAACGGCCCGGUUGGUCGACUGUCGCGCAGGCGUUUACGCGUCGGCGCGGCAGACCACCGGUCGCCCGGACGGCUGCUCGGCGGUAUGAAUUAUUCAUAAUCACGGUAAUGGGCCGCACUUGCGUGCGUUCAGGCUCGUCGGCAGGCUCGUCUCGCUCGGAUUUACGGACCUGGUGCCGUUGCCGAGCGCUUGGCGCGGCCGUUUCAGCCGGCGAUGUCCUCGGACGGGCUCGAAUUGCUCUCGGGCAAUUAUUAGAAAAUACCGGUCGGCGACGCUACUGCUUUGGGUACUUUCAGGACCCGUCUUGAAACACGGACCAAGGAGUCUAACAUGUACGCGAGUCAUUGGGACUUUGAACUAAGCCUAAAGGCGCAAUGAAAGUGAAGGUCCGCCUUAGCGCGCGACCGAGGGAGGAUGGCUCGCGUCACGAUGCGAGCUCGCACUCCCGGGGCGUCUCGUGCUCAUUACGAGCUGAGGCGCACCCAGAGCGU
This 688-nucleotide ribosomal RNA is filed under the name Ablerus sp. FP-2017. RNAcentral's name for it is "eukaryotic LSU rRNA". It matches the Rfam family "Eukaryotic large subunit ribosomal RNA", at positions 398 to 803 of the family's 3401-position model. The record is from RNAcentral. Lineage: Eukaryota; Metazoa; Arthropoda; Insecta; Hymenoptera; Aphelinidae.